GCUAAGGUGGCAGAGCCCGGUAAUUGCGAAAGGCCUAAGCCCUUUUUCUCAGAGGUUCAAACCCUCUCCUUAGCUAUGAUCA
This 82-nucleotide transfer RNA is filed under the name Coregonus sardinella (least cisco). Its description in RNAcentral is "tRNA-Leu". It matches the Rfam family "tRNA". Rfam says of the family: Transfer RNA (tRNA) molecules are approximately 80 nucleotides in length. Their secondary structure includes four short double-helical elements and three loops (D, anti-codon, and T loops). Further hydrogen bonds mediate the characteristic L-shaped molecular structure. tRNAs have two regions of fundamental functional importance: the anti-codon, which is responsible for specific mRNA codon recognition, and the 3' end, to which the tRNAs corresponding amino acid is attached (by aminoacyl-tRNA synthetases). tRNAs cope with the degeneracy of the genetic code in two manners: having more than one tRNA (with a specific anti-codon) for a particular amino acid; and 'wobble' base-pairing, i.e. permitting non-standard base-pairing at the 3rd anti-codon position. The record is from RNAcentral. Lineage: Eukaryota; Metazoa; Chordata; Actinopteri; Salmoniformes; Salmonidae.